GCCCCAUUCGUCUAGUGGCCUAGGACGCCGCCCUCUCAAGGCGGAAACAGGAGUUCGAGUCUCCUAUGGGGUAUCA
Molecule: transfer RNA, 76 nt
Filed under: Anaerolineaceae bacterium
Lineage: Bacteria; Bacillati; Chloroflexota; Anaerolineae; Anaerolineales; Anaerolineaceae
Description: tRNA-Glu
Rfam family: tRNA
About the family: Transfer RNA (tRNA) molecules are approximately 80 nucleotides in length. Their secondary structure includes four short double-helical elements and three loops (D, anti-codon, and T loops). Further hydrogen bonds mediate the characteristic L-shaped molecular structure. tRNAs have two regions of fundamental functional importance: the anti-codon, which is responsible for specific mRNA codon recognition, and the 3' end, to which the tRNAs corresponding amino acid is attached (by aminoacyl-tRNA synthetases). tRNAs cope with the degeneracy of the genetic code in two manners: having more than one tRNA (with a specific anti-codon) for a particular amino acid; and 'wobble' base-pairing, i.e. permitting non-standard base-pairing at the 3rd anti-codon position.
Source: RNAcentral